Molecule: ribosomal RNA, 264 nt
Filed under: uncultured bacterium
Lineage: Bacteria
Description: partial 16S ribosomal RNA
Rfam family: Bacterial small subunit ribosomal RNA
Source: RNAcentral
GUCCACGCCCUAAACGAUGCGAACUGGAUGUUGGGUGCAACUAGGCACUCAGUAUCGAAGCUAACGCGUUAAGUUCGCCGCCUGGGAAGUACGGUCGCAAGACUGAAACUCAAAGGAAUUGACGGGGGCCCGCACAAGCGGUGGAGUAUGUGGUUUAAUUCGAUGCAACGCGCAGAACCUUACCUGGCCUUGACAUCCACGGAACUUUCCAGAGAUGGAUUGGUGCCUUCGGGAACCGUGAGACAGGUGCUGCAUGGCUGUCGU